UGGAAGCCUUUACAAUCACUGAGUAUAAGUUUAACUGAACGAUGGUGGCUUAUGACCUUAUUGCAGUGGGCUCCGAUAGGCUGAUGAUGAAGGUGACAUGAGUAAAGGUGACCGUUGAUAUGAAGGCUGAUAGGCGAGAAUGGAACAGAACAUGUGCCAACCCUACAUAAAGCGGGACCAGGGUUGACAAAAGAACAAUGUGGCGACUUCAGCUCGCUUGCUCAUUUCCCGAGCUUACUAGCUUAAUUUCCUCACAAAAACUCCGACGGCGACCCUGUAAAUGUCUCCUUAUAUAUAAAGGUAUAAUAAACAAGUGCUGUGCUGUU
Danaus plexippus (monarch butterfly) is the source of this 326-nucleotide long non-coding RNA. RefSeq lists it as uncharacterized. The record is from RefSeq and is a predicted model, not a curated record. NCBI's taxonomy places the organism in Eukaryota, Metazoa, Arthropoda, Insecta, Lepidoptera, Nymphalidae. The transcript is spliced from 2 exons.